GUACUGUAGGAACGAUAUGCAGCAUACUGCCAAUGGCACAGGAGAAGCAGUUUCAGCUGGUGAUUUGGUACUGUGCUUCAAAAGCAGGCAGUAUAAUUAUCAUAUGCUCAGAGCAGUCAAGUCACGAUGCUGUUGGGAGUAAUGACUCAUGUCAAAAGAGUAAAGAAGUAUUUUUCAUGCUUAAUCAAUAGGAGUGGAGUUUAAAUACUAUAUACUUUAAAAUGAAAUGGGAGAUAUGAAUUUGAAAUUCAUAAUCAUUCUAAUUACAGAGACUGGGGAAGGCUAAAAGGUACUGAAGAUUACACUGCAAGGUGAAGUUCAGGAACUUGGUAUGUGUUUAAAGAGUGCAGACACUUUAGUGGGUAAAGGAAAAUCCAUAAAAAAUUAGGAAAUACAAAAAAGGAAAUAGCUUUUGUUUGCCUCCCUAGCAAACACCUCUAAAACCUAUAAAAAAUGAAGUGGUUUGUUUCAUGUAUAGUUCAAGGAUGGUCCAAAUAAUGACAAUAUAGUUUCCUUGUCUCUUUAAGUUCCUGAAAGGCACGUAUAAAUCCGAGAAGGGGUGAUACAGACUGGUCCUUUAACCUGCUAGAGAAUCAUAUGGAAGUGCUAAGGUGACUCACAAGGCUGCACGUUAAAAGGCUUUCAAAAUACAAUGCUUGCCUUCGCUUUCACAUCAGCAAACUCAUCCUUUUUUUGGAGUGGACAAAUUUCAACCUUCCUUUUCAUCUUCUACAAAUAAAAAUCUCAGCAGGUCCUGGUUAUACAGCAGUCAUCUCCCAAGGAAUCCAGAAGGCUGGGGAGUCUUGGGAGCUCUCCUGAGUGUGCAAAGAACAUGGCAACACAACUGGGAGUCUGGAAACCCCUGUGUGCAACCUCUGCCUCCUGGGAGUCACCAUACAGCUUGACGGCAUAGAUGCUAAUGGAAAACAAGGCUGCAAAACUUAAGCGCAGAACAUGGAAACAGCCUAUCAAGCCCAUGCCAUAACUGCCAAUGAAAUUUCACUUCAUUCUGCACACUUGUGUUAUGCCUUCUCCGUACAUCAUAUCCUCCAAUUUAUUUCAUGCUCUAUGUCACCCUUUGUCUUGUGUAAGAAUUCAAAGAUAAUAAUAACACAGUUAUUCUAGGGAAAUAUUUUUAGAACUGGAGCAACUACCCUUCAAGAUCAGAAACAAAUGAACACAACUCAGUUUUAAUACAUGAGCAAAUACAAAAUAUAUAAAUAGCAUAUAUAA
This is a long non-coding RNA of Cygnus olor (mute swan), 1233 nucleotides long. RefSeq lists it as uncharacterized. The record is from RefSeq and is a predicted model, not a curated record. The transcript is spliced from 3 exons. Lineage: Eukaryota; Metazoa; Chordata; Aves; Anseriformes; Anatidae.